This 497-nucleotide ribosomal RNA is filed under the name uncultured bacterium. RNAcentral's name for it is "partial 16S ribosomal RNA". It matches the Rfam family "Bacterial small subunit ribosomal RNA", at positions 28 to 507 of the family's 1533-position model. The record is from RNAcentral.
GAUGAACGCUGGCGGCGUGCCUAAUACAUGCAAGUCGAGCGAACAGACGAGGAGCUUGCUCCUUUGACGUUAGCGGCGGACGGGUGAGUAACACGUGGGUAACCUACCUAUAAGACUGGGAUAACUUCGGGAAACCGGAGCUAAUACCGGAUAAUAUUUCGAACCGCAUGGUUCGAUAGUGAAAGAUGGCUUUGCUAUCACUUAUAGAUGGACCUGCGCCGUAUUAGCUAGUUGGUAAGGUAACGGCUUACCAAGGCAACGAUACGUAGCCGACCUGAGAGGGUGAUCGGCCACACUGGAACUGAGACACGGUCCAGACUCCUACGGGAGGCAGCAGUAGGGAAUCUUCCGCAAUGGGCGAAAGCCUUACGGAGCAACGCCGCGUGAGUGAUGAAGGUCUUCGGAUCGUAAAACUCUGUUAUUAGGGAAGAACAAACGUGUAAGUAACUGUGCACGUCUUGACGGUACCUAAUCAGAAAGCCACGGCUAACUACGUG